AGUAAGAUCAGCUAAUUAAGCUCUUGGGCCCAUACCCCAAAUAUGUUGGUUAAAAUCCUUCUUUUACUA
Molecule: transfer RNA, 69 nt
Filed under: Cottus koreanus
Lineage: Eukaryota; Metazoa; Chordata; Actinopteri; Perciformes; Cottidae
Description: tRNA-Met
Rfam family: tRNA
About the family: Transfer RNA (tRNA) molecules are approximately 80 nucleotides in length.
Source: RNAcentral